GAUUAAGUUAUUAAGGGCGCACGGUGGAUGCCUUGGCACUAGAAGCCGAUGAAGGACGUUACUAACGACGAUAUGCUUUGGGUAGCUGUAAGUAAGCGUUAAUCCAGAGAUUUCCGAAUGGGGGAACCCAACACAAGUUAUGUUGUGUUAUCGACAAGUGAAUUCAUAGCUUGUCAGAAGGCAGACCCGGAGAACUGAAACAUCUUAGUACCCGGAGGAAGAGAAAGAAAAUUCGAUUCCCUGAGUAGCGGC
This 252-nucleotide ribosomal RNA is filed under the name Staphylococcus hominis. RNAcentral describes it as "partial 23S ribosomal RNA". It matches the Rfam family "Bacterial large subunit ribosomal RNA", at positions 1 to 250 of the family's 2925-position model. The record is from RNAcentral. Lineage: Bacteria; Bacillati; Bacillota; Bacilli; Caryophanales; Staphylococcaceae.